AUGCUAUACUUUUAGCCAUCAUUUCUAUAGUUUGUAACUUGUGAAAUGUGUUUUAAAAUGUCCAAACUCAGUACCCACGAGGAAAAGUUUAAGUGUUUUCUCCUAAGCAUGAAGUGUGUUUUCAGUGCUGCUUUAUUGUAGCUGCUGGCUGUUGUUGAUGACCGUUCCUCUCUUCUUAAUUGGAGAGUAGGAGGGAGAGAACACAAGCUGAGUGGUU
RNAcentral lists this small nucleolar RNA (217 nucleotides) under Pelobates cultripes (western spadefoot toad). It matches the Rfam family "Small nucleolar RNA U3". Rfam says of the family: Small nucleolar RNAs (snoRNAs) are involved in the processing and modification of rRNA in the nucleolus. There are two main classes of snoRNAs: the box C/D class, and the box H/ACA class. The record is from RNAcentral. Lineage: Eukaryota; Metazoa; Chordata; Amphibia; Anura; Pelobatidae.